CUGGCCCGCCGCCCCGCCCACCGCCUGGAGGGCGCGAGAGUGGACUAGUGCGCACGCGCAGACCGCGCGAGGCCGUUGGAAGGCGCGGCCCAGAGCGCCAGCGAGCGGGAGUCAACCAGCCCGGAGGUGGGGGCUGACAGGACUCGAGACCUCUGCGACUGUAGCGCAACCCCCUCCCCAUCCCCCGCCUCCCGCCUCCACGCUGUGGCCAGUUCCCGGCCCUCUCAGUUCCGCGCUGCCCCUUAAAGGUGGGGCCUGGGCACAGGAGCGACAGGCGUUGCAGCCAAUGGUGUCCCGCACGGUAAACCUGCUACCCAAUCACGAGGCGCGGCUGCGAGGGAACGGCGUGGGAACCACGCCCGGCUCCAGAAUUCAAGAAAGAAUAAAAGAACAAAAAACAGGAGACAAACAGCAAGAUGGCAGGCUUAUAGCCUGGUCUGGGAAGAUCCCACAUGUCGAGGAGCAGCUGAGCUCGAGUACUGCAACUACUGAAGCUUGCUCACCUAGAGUCUGUCCUUUGCAACUAGAGAAGCCACAGCAAUGAAAAGCCCAUGCACGGCAAUGAAGAGUAGCCCCUGCUUGCCACACUAGAGAAAACUCACACAUAGCAACAAAGACACAGGAUAGCUGUAAAUAACUUUAUUUUGAAAAAGACAUACUUUUAAGAACACAGAAAUAUUGAGAAACUAAUGGAAUAUGUACAGUAUGACCACACUAACCAAAAGAAAGCUGGUGUGGCUUUAUUAAUUUCAAACAAAGUAGACUGGAAGAGAAAGUAUUCUAGAAAAAAAGGAGGGAUAUUUUAUAAUUAUUAAAGAGUCCAAAAAAGAGCCAAUUCAACAGGAAGAUAAAACACUCCUCAAUUUUAUGUACUUCAUAACAUAAUUUCAAAUAUGCAAAAUAAAAAAUUACAGAAUUAAAA
Long non-coding RNA from Cervus elaphus (red deer), 922 nucleotides. RefSeq lists it as uncharacterized. The transcript has 2 exons. The record is from RefSeq and is a predicted model, not a curated record. Lineage: Eukaryota; Metazoa; Chordata; Mammalia; Artiodactyla; Cervidae.